GACGAACGCUGGCGGCGUGCUUAACACAUGCAAGUCGAGCGGUAAGGCCCUUUCGGGGGUACACGAGCGGCGAACGGGUGAGUAACACGUGGGUGACCUGCCCUCAGCUCUGGGAUAAGCCCGGGAAACCGGGUCUAAUACCGGAUAUGACUCCAUGACGCAUGUUGUGGGGUGGAAAGCCUUGUGCGGCUGAGGAUGGGCCCGCGGCCUAUCAGCUUGUUGGUGGGGUGAUGGCCUACCAAGGCGACGACGGGUAGCCGGCCUGAGAGGGCGACCGGCCACACUGGGACUGAGACACGGCCCAGACUCCUACGGGAGGCAGCAGUGGGGAAUAUUGGACAAUGGGCGAAAGCCUGAUCCAGCGAUGCCGCGUGUGUGAAGAAGGCCUGCGGGUUGUAAAAGCAUUUCAGUAGGGAAGAAAUGCUUGGAGCUAACACCGCCAAGUUCUGACGUUACCUACAGAAGAAGCA
Molecule: ribosomal RNA, 470 nt
Filed under: uncultured bacterium
Lineage: Bacteria
Description: bacterial SSU rRNA
Rfam family: Bacterial small subunit ribosomal RNA
Source: RNAcentral